Molecule: transfer RNA, 69 nt
Filed under: human gut metagenome
Also listed under: 1 other name
Rfam family: tRNA
About the family: Transfer RNA (tRNA) molecules are approximately 80 nucleotides in length. Their secondary structure includes four short double-helical elements and three loops (D, anti-codon, and T loops).
Source: RNAcentral
CGAAGUAGCUCAGUUGGUAGAGCAACGCAUUCGUAAUGCGUGGGUCGUGAGUUCAAGUCUCAUCUUCGG